UACGUAGGGUGCAAGCGUUGUCCGGAAUUAUUGGGCGUAAAGAGCUCGUAGGCGGUGUGUCACGUCGGCCGUGAAAACCUGGGGGCUUAACUCUGGGCGUGCGGUCGAUACGGGCAUCACUGGAGUUCGGCAGGGGGAGACUGGAAUUCCUGGUGUAGCGGUGAAAUGCGCAGAUAUCAGGAGGAACACCGGUGGCGAAGGCGGGUCUCUGGGGCCGAUACUGACGCUGAGGAGCGAAAAGCGUGGGGGAGCAAAC
This 256-nucleotide ribosomal RNA is filed under the name uncultured bacterium. RNAcentral describes it as "partial 16S ribosomal RNA". It matches the Rfam family "Bacterial small subunit ribosomal RNA", at positions 524 to 773 of the family's 1533-position model. The record is from RNAcentral.